GUGCUCACUUCGGCAGCACAUAUACUAAAACUGGAACGAUACAGAAAAGAUUAGCGUGGCCCCUGCGCAAGGAUGACAUGCAAAUUCAUGAAGAGUUCCAUAUUUAA
RNAcentral lists this small nuclear RNA (107 nucleotides) under Canis lupus familiaris (dog). RNAcentral also lists the same sequence under 1 other name. The record is from RNAcentral. Lineage: Eukaryota; Metazoa; Chordata; Mammalia; Carnivora; Canidae.